UACGGAGGAUCCAAGCGUUAUCCGGAAUCAUUGGGUUUAAAGGGUCCGUAGGCGGCCGAGUAAGUCAGUGGUGAAAGCCCAUCGCUCAACGGUGGAACGGCCAUUGAUACUGCUCGGCUUGAAUUACUGGGAAGUAACUAGAAUAUGUAGUGUAGCGGUGAAAUGCUUAGAUAUUACAUGGAAUACCGAUUGCGAAGGCAGGUUACUACCAGUUUAUUGACGCUGAUGGACGAAAGCGUGGGGAGCGAACAGG
RNAcentral lists this ribosomal RNA (253 nucleotides) under uncultured bacterium. RNAcentral's name for it is "partial 16S ribosomal RNA". It matches the Rfam family "Bacterial small subunit ribosomal RNA", at positions 524 to 776 of the family's 1533-position model. The record is from RNAcentral.